This 791-nucleotide ribosomal RNA is filed under the name uncultured bacterium. Its description in RNAcentral is "bacterial SSU rRNA". It matches the Rfam family "Bacterial small subunit ribosomal RNA", at positions 56 to 836 of the family's 1533-position model. The record is from RNAcentral.
UGCAAGUCGAGGGGCAGCGGGAUUGAAGCUUGCUUCAAUUGCCGGCGACCGGCGCACGGGUGAGUAACGCGUAUCCAACCUUCCGUACACUCAGGGAUAGCCUUUCGAAAGAAAGAUUAAUACCUGAUGGUAUGAUGAGAUUGCAUGAUAGCAUCAUUAAAGAUUUAUCGGUGUACGAUGGGGAUGCGUUCCAUUAGGUAGUAGGCGGGGUAACGGCCCACCUAGCCUACGAUGGAUAGGGGUUCUGAGAGGAAGGUCCCCCACAUUGGAACUGAGACACGGUCCAAACUCCUACGGGAGGCAGCAGUGAGGAAUAUUGGUCAAUGGACGAGAGUCUGAACCAGCCAAGUAGCGUGAAGGAUGAAGGUCUUACGGAUUGUAAACUUCUUUUAUAAGGGAAUAAAACCUCCCACGUGUGGGAGCUUGUAUGUACCUUAUGAAUAAGCAUCGGCUAACUCCGUGCCAGCAGCCGCGGUAAUACGGAGGAUGCGAGCGUUAUCCGGAUUUAUUGGGUUUAAAGGGAGCGCAGACGGGUCGUUAAGUCAGCUGUGAAAGUUUGGGGCUCAACCUUAAAAUUGCAGUUGAUACUGGCGUCCUUGAGUGCGGUUGAGGUGUGCGGAAUUCGUGGCGUAGCGGUGAAAUGCUUAGAUAUCACGAAGAACUCCGAUUGCGAAGGCAGCACACUAAGCCGUAACUGACGUUCAUGCUCGAAAGUGUGGGUAUCAAACAGGAUUAGAUACCCUGGUAGUCCACACGGUAAACGAUGGAUACUCGCUGUUGGCGAUAUACGG